RNAcentral lists this long non-coding RNA (509 nucleotides) under Nicotiana benthamiana. RNAcentral describes it as "long non-coding RNA (NBEN_LNC034608)". Lineage: Eukaryota; Viridiplantae; Streptophyta; Magnoliopsida; Solanales; Solanaceae. The record is from RNAcentral.
UACAGUUAGCUCUAAACUAAUACAACCUCAUAUAAGCUAACUAAUAUGUAUCUAUUUAUCUGACGCUAAGGAUAAUAGUUGAGCUUACUCAGCCCUCAUGCCAUCUUUUACAUUUCCUACUUCGAGUAUGAAUCAGCAAUGCCACUUCUUUACAGAACUGAUCUUCAGCAAAACUCUUUCUAUCAAAACGAAUAGAACUUCUGGCUCUCCAGAUCAAUGCAACAGUAGUGACAAAAGCAGUAGCAGUGAUUGCUUUCUGCCAGUUCCUGCUUCGAGCCUUACCGCAUAUCCACUUUAGUUCAUUCUCCCAAGUACCAACAAUUCGAUUGUACCCCAUCCAAUAGCAUAUUCUAAGCCAUAAUCGAUUAGUGACUGGGCAUGCAAAAAAUAGAUGCUCAAACCUUUCUUCCUGCAGUUUGCAGAAUGCACAUUCAAGAGGUAUAUCAACUCCAAACUUCUGCAGUCUGUCAACAGUAGGAAGCCUGUAUUGAGCAGCUAACCAUACUGUG